RNAcentral lists this unclassified non-coding RNA (264 nucleotides) under Glomus sp. RNAcentral's name for it is "partial contains 5.8S ribosomal RNA and internal transcribed spacer 2". The stretch from base 1 to 72 matches the Rfam family "5.8S ribosomal RNA", at positions 84 to 154 of the family's 154-position model. Lineage: Eukaryota; Fungi; Glomeromycota; Glomeromycetes; Glomerales; Glomeraceae. The record is from RNAcentral.
GUGAAUCAUCAAAUUUUUGAACGCAAAUUGCACUCUCCGGAUGUCCGGGAGAGUAUGCCUGUUUGCGGGUCAGCCUAAAAAAAAUCGAAAUAGAUGCUGUAUUAUGGUGACUUUCGUCGGAGAUGGGUUAUCUAAAAUCUCGGUUUAAGCGACUUAAAAGUUUUUUUUACGAUUCUAAGAAUGAUUCUAAGAUUUUUCUUGUACGUUUAAGGCAUCGAGUGUCUUAUUAGUCGUGGCCGUCAUAUCGGAGCGGGUCCAUAAUUU